CUCUGGGUCCAACCUCCCACCCGUGUUUAUUGUACCUUGUUGCUUCGGUGCGCCCGCCUCACGGCCGCCGGGGGGCUUCUGCCCCCGGGUCCGCGCGCACCGGAGACACCAUUGAACUCUGUCUGAAGAUUGCAGUCUGAGCAUAAACUAAAUAAGUUAAAACUUUCAACAACGGAUCUCUUGGUUCCGGCAUCGAUGAAGAACGCAGCGAAAUGCGAUAACUAAUGUGAAUUGCAGAAUUCAGUGAAUCAUCGAGUCUUUGAACGCACAUUGCGCCCCCUGGUAUUCCGGGGGGCAUGCCUGUCCGAGCGUCAUUGCUGCCCUCAAGCACGGCUUGUGUGUUGGGCUCCGUCCCCCCGGGGACGGGUCCGAAAGGCAGCGGCGGCACCGAGUCCGGUCCUCGAGCGUAUGGGGCUUUGUCACCCGCUCUGUAGGCCCGGCCGGCGCCAGCCGACAACCAAUCAUCCUUUUUUCAGGUUGACCUCGGAUCAGGUAGGGAUACCCGCUGAACUUAAGCAUAUCAA
Molecule: ribosomal RNA, 524 nt
Filed under: Penicillium sp. E8424b
Lineage: Eukaryota; Fungi; Ascomycota; Eurotiomycetes; Eurotiales; Aspergillaceae
Description: eukaryotic LSU rRNA
Rfam family: 5.8S ribosomal RNA (bases 161-314)
Source: RNAcentral